AGAUUGAACGCUGGCGGCAUGCCUUACACAUGCAAGUCGAACGGCAGCACGGGAGCAAUCCUGGUGGCGAGUGGCGAACGGGUGAGUAAUAUAUCGGAACGUGCCCAGUCGUGGGGGAUAACGCAGCGAAAGCUGUGCUAAUACCGCAUACGAUCUAUGGAUGAAAGCGGGGGAUCGCAAGACCUCGCGCGAUUGGAGCGGCCGAUAUCAGAUUAGCUAGUUGGUGGGUAAAAGCUACCAAGGCGACGAUCUGUAGCUGGUCUGAGAGGACGACCAGCCACACUGGAACUGAGACACGGUCCAGACUCCUACGGGAGCAGCAGUGGGAAUUUUGGACUAAUGGGCGUCAAGCCUGAUCAGCAAUGCCGCGUGCGUAGGAUCGGAAGUCCGUUCGGGUU
RNAcentral lists this ribosomal RNA (398 nucleotides) under uncultured soil bacterium. RNAcentral's name for it is "bacterial SSU rRNA". It matches the Rfam family "Bacterial small subunit ribosomal RNA", at positions 26 to 424 of the family's 1533-position model. The record is from RNAcentral.